UCUUUUAUUUUGUAUAAUUUAAAAUUUCUUUUUGAAGAAGAAAAAUGUGAAAAGGAAGGCGAAAGGACUAAGUGAAGAAGUGAAUGGAGAUGAAGGAAGAGAGGAUGUUAGCUAAGGUAGAUGAAAAAUAAGGCAUGCUAGUAAAGUUCAAUAAAGGGGUUUCGAUGAGAGUGGAGGAACAAGUUCAAUAACUUGUCUUGCGGGGAACAAGGAAAGACAUGGCGUCUGCAAGAAAAACAAGAAUUUAGUUAAGUUAAUAUAUCAAGGAAUACGUGGGUAGUUACUGACAUCGUACCGAAUGCCACACGAGUUAAAUUCUCAUGUUUAAGGUAAUCGACCAAUUGACGGGCGUGGAGACGACGGGGUAAGGCUAUUGAUAGUUUUAACAGCUUCAACCUCGACGGGGGACAUCUUGCUAGUCGACACGGGGUCUAUAUGGACAAGAUCCUCGGUCCAGUAAAAAGGGAACAACGGUUCGCCGGCAUCAUCACGGAACUGACCACGACCGACCUCCUUUAUAUUACUUUAAAAUACCUAGUUUUGAAAUCUUUGAACGACUUGGAAUAAGCUUU
Molecule: long non-coding RNA, 572 nt
Filed under: Vigna radiata
Lineage: Eukaryota; Viridiplantae; Streptophyta; Magnoliopsida; Fabales; Fabaceae
Description: long non-coding RNA (VRAD_LNC004566)
Source: RNAcentral